This 1205-nucleotide unclassified non-coding RNA is filed under the name Hevea brasiliensis (rubber tree). The record is from RNAcentral. Lineage: Eukaryota; Viridiplantae; Streptophyta; Magnoliopsida; Malpighiales; Euphorbiaceae.
UGGAACUCAUAUGUACUUGAAUUCUACCCAACAAAAGGAAGGAAAAAUAAAUUAAUGAAACAAAAGAAAUGUACAACAUUAUAUCCACGGAGGGACACCUGAAUUCUAAGCAGCAGAGACUUUCAACGAAAUACAAGCCUCACGGUUUUCUGACAAGAAAUCAAGUGAGAACGCAACUGGAACUGCGUUCCAAAAGAAUGGGAAUCGAAAAUACGAGAGAUGUAUAAACCCACUUGUGUGCUCAAUAUACUGACAAACAGCAUUAACAAAAUCACGCGGCAGAUCAUCCACCUUGCAUGUUCUCGUCGCAUAAAUUAGUCAGCGAUUUACUGGGAACAACAGAUGUUGGUGACCACUGAUCAGGGACCAUCAGGAAAUAGGUCGUCAUGGCCUUUCGGAACCUCUUUUUGUACUGUUUAGGUGAGAUUAUAGUCGGCGACGCAUUUUUGGGUCCACCAAGGAUCCCAGAGGCCUUGACCCAAGUCUCCAAGUGCUUAUCCCACGUAUACUGUCUCAUGAAGUCAAUAAUCCCAACAACAAGCUCAUUCUUCUCUUCAUCAACCCCAACCAACAGUGAGUAAUCCAUCACAUCAACUGCAGCAAGAAAAGCAGUAUCAUUCCAUACAGCUCGCUCCAAAAGUCUUUUUGCUUUGUUUCCAACAAAAAUAGGUGAAGUUGGCAUUGAUUCAAUCAAGUUCUGAUCCAGCAAGACUUUGUUGCUUCCACUGGAAUCAGGAUUGUAACGAGACCUUGCAGAACCUUUCAGAUCAUAAAGCCUUGCCAGUUUCCUCCCAAAGAGAAGGUUCUCCAUAACUAACACAUCCAUUUUAGAUUCCUUACCUCCUUUAAGCUGCUUUGAUGACACCUGAUAGAUCCCCAGAAUUUUUGCCAAACAAGUUGGACUCCCCGUGAUUAUUGAUUCAGAAAGAUAUUUGAAAUAUUCAGGAGCGAAUUUCAUAAAGGACUCCAGCUCUGUCUUUGUCACUUGCUUGAUAAUGAAUCGAUCAUCCAAGGUUUUAGCAAAGAAAACGUUGCUCUUGCCUCCUUGGGCCCCCCACUUCUUACAGCGGCUAAGAGAUCUUAUGAAAUCCAUCUCUGAAGGACAACAUAUCCGCCUCAAGGCUUCAAAGCGCUUUGCAUAAUAACAAGUCACUGAGUAUUUCACUUUCCCCAGAGAUCCAUCAUCUCCAAAAGAAACUCUGGCA